GCCAAUCCAGUCUCAAGGAACGCAUUUCCCUCCUCACCUUUGCUUCGGCGUUCGGUCUCCAACCUGGCUCUACGUCCGACAGAGACACUUCCUUGCUCGAAUAAAGAUUCAAUUCAGGAUGUAAUGCCUGUGGUGUUUUGAGUGACUAGCCUAGUGGAUCCUGUCUGAGCAGCUAUCCAAGAAAGCAAGCAACAAAGAUGUCCAGUCUGCCCUGCAAGGAGAGGGAGUUGAUGUAGCCUCCACUGUGCCACUUCUCUUGGCCCACUUCAAGGAGGACAAGGAAGGACUUCUCCUUCAAGCUGAUGCAGGUGCAUCAGCUGCUGAUGUUGAAGAGGCACUUACCCUGCCUGCCAGUCCUCGGUUGAUACUGGUUGGUGAUACUCCACAUUGGAUGCUGAGCAUUGAGGGCCAGGUGGUGUGUGAGGGGACCACCUUUGUGUCUGGCCUUGCAGUACUUUUUGCGUCAUAUUACAACUUUAACCUGCAGUACCAGGAUGAGGCGGCUUGUACGCUGGAGUUCAUUCAAAGACGGUUCAUCGAUAUAAAUCCUGAGAAGGGAACAAGAGCCCAACAAGGAAAAGUGGUGUCAAAGAAGACUGGAAGAGAAGUGCAAAAGAAGCCACACAAUGUCAAUCCACACGUUGCCACACUUCUGCGCAAGCUUAUGGAUUACAAGUGGGACUUUGGAAAUUAGUCAACACGUACCCCCUCUCUCACACUGUGACACACACACACACACACA
Chelmon rostratus (copperband butterflyfish) is the source of this 742-nucleotide long non-coding RNA. RefSeq lists it as uncharacterized. Lineage: Eukaryota; Metazoa; Chordata; Actinopteri; Chaetodontiformes; Chaetodontidae. The record is from RefSeq and is a predicted model, not a curated record. The transcript is spliced from 6 exons.